GCCUGGGUGGCUCAGUUGGUUAAGCAUCUGACUUCGGCUCAGGUUAUCAUCUUGCGAUUCAUGGGUUCGAGCCCCACGUCGGGCU
RNAcentral lists this transfer RNA (85 nucleotides) under Felis catus (domestic cat). It matches the Rfam family "tRNA". Rfam says of the family: Transfer RNA (tRNA) molecules are approximately 80 nucleotides in length. The record is from Rfam by way of RNAcentral. Lineage: Eukaryota; Metazoa; Chordata; Mammalia; Carnivora; Felidae.